This 430-nucleotide long non-coding RNA is filed under the name Carica papaya (papaya). RNAcentral's name for it is "long non-coding RNA (CPAP_LNC011629)". The record is from RNAcentral. Lineage: Eukaryota; Viridiplantae; Streptophyta; Magnoliopsida; Brassicales; Caricaceae.
UAAAUCUGGAUCUGGAAACUUGAGGCUGUUCGGUCUUCACAGCACCUAAACCGAAUUAAGUGACCUUCCGUUUCCUUUUUCGUUGUGGAGUUUUGGUGAAUACAGAUGCUAAUACGUAUGUAUGUGUAUACGUAUAGAUUUUGGAAAGUAAAUCGCCCACACCUACGCAGGGAGUCAAAGUGGUGGUUCACCGAAUACCGAAAAACGAGUUUGUUGUUGGUAAUUACUCAAAAUGACCACUGUUAGUAAUUUUCCUUAGGUUUAAUUCAUUUCUGUCAAUUAAAUCUUAUUAUGUUUAUGUAUGGUGAUUAUAGGUCGUUGAUCAAGUGGAAUACAAUCUGUUUGAGGAACUUUGGUAAGUAUUUCUUCAUUCUAAACCUGAAUUGGGAUAUUAAAAGCUUAUGCAUAUGUAUUCUUAAAUUUGUGUGUU